Molecule: long non-coding RNA, 298 nt
Filed under: Mus caroli (Ryukyu mouse)
Lineage: Eukaryota; Metazoa; Chordata; Mammalia; Rodentia; Muridae
Description: lncRNA (MGP_CAROLIEiJ_G0002857.1)
Source: RNAcentral
AGACCUGAGCUUCGGGGACAGGAGCAGUGGCCUAUCAUCUCUCCUUGGUGUCUCUGCUAUUGAAAACACUUGUCCUGAAGAUGGGGACCACCUGAAGAGAUGCCUAGGGAACAGACCCCCCUUAAAAUUUGACAAGGAUAUAUCCUGGGACCUAGGGAGCACAGACCAAGUGGGGCUAGCGUUCUCACAGUAGGACAUCGAGGUGUCUGGGAAAGAGACUUUGGCAGGUCCAGCUGUAUUCGAGCUUGGAGAUUCAGACUCAGGCUCCCACGCUUGUGUGGCAAGUGCCAUAUCUGCU